Molecule: ribosomal RNA, 486 nt
Filed under: uncultured bacterium
Lineage: Bacteria
Description: partial 16S ribosomal RNA
Rfam family: Bacterial small subunit ribosomal RNA
Source: RNAcentral
GACGAACGCUGGCUGCGUGCUUAACACAUGCAAGUCGAACGCUGAAGCCCGCAGCUUGCUGUGGGUGGAUGAGUGGCGAACGGGUGAGUAACACGUGAGUAACCUGCCCCUGACUUCGGGAUAAGCCCGGGAAACUGGGCCUAAUACCGGAUACGACCAUCGGACGCAUGUCUGGUGGGGGAAAGUUUUUUCGGUUGGGGAUGGGCUCGCGGCCUAUCAGUUUGUUGGUGAGGUAAUGGUGCACCAAGACGACGACGGGUAGCCGGCCUGAGAGGGCGACCGGCCACACUGGGACUGAGACACGGCCCAGACUCAUACGGGAGGCAGCAGUGGGGAAUAUUGCACAAUGGGGGAAACCCUGAUGCAGCGACGCAGCGUGCGGGAUGACGACCUUCGGGUUGUAAACCGCUUUCAGCAGGGAAGAAGCGAAAGUGACGGUACCUGCAGAAGAAGUACCGGCUAACUACGUGCCAGCCGCCGCAGUAA